RNAcentral lists this transfer RNA (97 nucleotides) under Bryobacterales bacterium. RNAcentral describes it as "tRNA-Sec". It matches the Rfam family "Selenocysteine transfer RNA". Lineage: Bacteria; Pseudomonadati; Acidobacteriota; Terriglobia; Bryobacterales. The record is from RNAcentral.
GGAAGCUAGUCUUGGCCGGUGCUGGGCCUGGUCUUCAAAACCAGCGUGCGGCGCGUUUCGUGUCGUGGGUGGGUUCGACUCCCACUAGCUUCCGCCA